This 496-nucleotide ribosomal RNA is filed under the name uncultured bacterium. Its description in RNAcentral is "SSU rRNA". It matches the Rfam family "Bacterial small subunit ribosomal RNA", at positions 26 to 514 of the family's 1533-position model. The record is from RNAcentral.
AGAUUGAACGCUGGCGGCGUGCCUAACACAUGCAAGUCGAGCGGUAACAGGUGUAGCAAUACAUGCUGACGAGCGGCGAACGGGUGAGUAAUGCUUCGGAAUCUACCCUCUAGUGGGGAAUAACCAGCCGAAAGGUUGGCUAAUACCGCAUACGUCCUACGGGAGAAAGCAGGGGAUCGUAAGACCUUGCGCUGAUGGAUGAGCCGAAGUCGGAUUAGCUAGUUGGUGGGGUAACGGCUCACCAAGGCGACGAUCCGUAGCUGGUCUGAGAGGACGACCAGCCACACUGGAACUGAGACACGGUCCAGACUCCUACGGGAGGCAGCAGUGGGGAAUAUUGGACAAUGGGGGAAACCCUGAUCCAGCGACGCCGCGUGUGUGAAGAAGGCCUGCGGGUUGUAAAGCACUUUUAGUGGGAUGAAAUGUGCAGGGUUAAUACCUCUGCUAUUUUGACCUUAACCCACAAGAAAAGCACCGGCUAACUCUGCGCCAGCAG